UACGUAGGGGGCAAGCGUUGUCCGGAAUCAUUGGGCGUAAAGCGCGUGUAGGCGGCCUUGUAAGUCCGUUCUGAAAGCCCGGGGCUCAACCCCGGGAGGCGGAUGGAUACUGCAAGGCUCGAGUCCGGAAGAGGCGAGUGGAAUUCCCGGUGUAGCGGUGAAAUGCGCAGAUAUCGGGAGGAACACCAAUGGCGAAGGCAGCUCGCUGGGACGGUACUGACGCUGAGACGCGAAAGCGUGGGGAGCAAAC
RNAcentral lists this ribosomal RNA (250 nucleotides) under uncultured Thermoleophilia bacterium. RNAcentral describes it as "partial 16S ribosomal RNA". It matches the Rfam family "Bacterial small subunit ribosomal RNA", at positions 524 to 773 of the family's 1533-position model. Lineage: Bacteria; Bacillati; Actinomycetota; Thermoleophilia. The record is from RNAcentral.